UAUUGGACAAUGGAGGAAACUUUGAUCCAGCCAUGCCGCGUGAGUGAUGAAGGCCUUCGGGUUGUAAAGCUCUUUGAUUGGAGACAAUAAUGAUGGUAUCCAAAGAACAAGCCCCGGCUAACUCUGUGCCAGCAGCCGCGGUAAUACAGAGGGGGCUAGCGUUGUUCGGAAUUACUGGGCGUAAAGCGUGCGUAGGCGGCCUAAUAAGUCAGAAGUGAAAGCCCAAGGCUUAACCUUGGAAUUGCUUUUGAUACUGCUAGGCUUGAAGGUGGUAGAGGAUAGUGGAAUUCUUAGUGUAGGAGUGAAAUCCGUAGAUAUUAAGAGGAACACCAGUGGCGAAGGCGACUAUCUGGACCAUUCUGACGCUGAGUACGAAA
This 377-nucleotide ribosomal RNA is filed under the name uncultured bacterium. RNAcentral's name for it is "bacterial SSU rRNA". It matches the Rfam family "Bacterial small subunit ribosomal RNA", at positions 362 to 758 of the family's 1533-position model. The record is from RNAcentral.